AUCAAAGGCACUGCUCCUGCCUUGCACCGAACCUCCAUUAGCUUUUCUCUCCUACCUUGGCUCAGGCUCUGAGGCGGCGGAGUGAAAAGGAAGCGUUGCAAAGCGAUGCUACAGGUGCUUAUCGUCAUCUGGGUUAUGAACAGCAGUGUUAGAGGAUAAACAAGAGUCGAGGUUCUGGUAACAACCACACCUGCAUAGAAUAGUGAAAGACCUUUGUAAUUAAUAUGCUUUUAGGGGAUGAAGAUGAGGCAAUUCGGGUUAGGCCGGUUGGCAGUUACAAAACCGACAUUUUUCUUGACCGGACAGAGUUCAACAACGACUAUCUUUCUGUUUGGUCGUAAAAUCUGUUACCAACCUCACUCGCUCUCCAUACGUUUUCACUCAUCCACUGCAUCGCCGAAUACCGAACAUCGGUUUAGAAAUUUGAAACCGGUUUAUGCCAUGUCUUCUAUUCGAUAUUUAACAUUUUCUGUAUUAAAUCAUCAACAUCUAAUUGAGUUCCAGAAUUAUUAAAAUCCAUGUGUUACUGUUUUUUCACAUAAAAAUCAUUACUUGGCUGGCUCUUGCAGGGUGUAACAAAAUAUUUUGGAAGAAAACAUGGGUUUGGUUCUUCAACAAAUAUCAUCCAUCAUCUUUGAGAAAAAAAAAACAAAGAGAGAGUUUAUCUAUGUACAAAUGCAAAGUUACUGAAAACAUGGAAAGG
Molecule: long non-coding RNA, 703 nt
Organism: Brassica rapa (field mustard)
Lineage: Eukaryota; Viridiplantae; Streptophyta; Magnoliopsida; Brassicales; Brassicaceae
Source: RefSeq, a predicted model, not a curated record